UGGCGGACGGGUGAGUAAUGUCUGGGAAACUGCUUGAUGGAGGGGGAUAACUACUGGAAACGGUAGCUAAUACCGCAUAACGUCGCAAGACCAAAGAGGGGGACCUUCGGGCCUCUUGCCAUCGGAUGUGCCCAGAUGGGAUUAGCUAGUAGGUGGGGUAACGGCUCACCUAGGCGACGAUCCCUAGCUGGUCUGAGAGGAUGACCAGCCACACUGGAACUGAGACACGGUCCAG
This 235-nucleotide ribosomal RNA is filed under the name uncultured bacterium. RNAcentral describes it as "partial 16S ribosomal RNA". It matches the Rfam family "Bacterial small subunit ribosomal RNA", at positions 96 to 334 of the family's 1533-position model. The record is from RNAcentral.